CGGCCGCCCAUCUCCUAGCAACAGGCUUCUCCUAGGCCCGGUGUAAAGGACUGCUCCCGCUGCACGUUCACCUGGUGCUCAGCCUCAUCUUCAGUGAUUGCUCUCCCGCCGUCAAAGCCACCCUUCACAUUCAGCAGUGCAUCCAAGCUGUUUUCUAAGGCUUGACUGGUUCCUCGGAGUCCAGCAACUACUUUGGAAGCCCAGGUGAAAUAUUCUUCAACUCUUUCCUCUGUCCACCCUGAAUGAUGAUUCAACAGAAGUCAGAGAUACAGCAAAGUAACAGGCCUUUUCGGCCCAAUGAGCCCACAUCACCCAAUUACACCCGCCUGAUCCUCCUAAUCCGUACAUUUUGGAAUGUGGGAGGAAACCAAAGCACCCAGAGGAAUCCCAUGUGGUCAUGGAGAGAACAUACAAACUCCUUACAAGCAGCAGCUGAGUUGAUCCUGGGUCGCUGGCGCUGUAACUGUGCUACACCAACUGCUACUAUAUCAUGAUACUGAAGUUAGAGACGAUUGUGAUACGAUUGACUGUAACUUCCCAGGAUUGAGUCUUACAAUAAAAUGUUACCAAACAAUUCAGCAGCUUGAAAUACAUAAAGUAGUUUCUAUCAGGAUAAUCACAAAUCUUUAGGCUCAGAGGGGAAGUUUGUGUGAGGCACAACUUGCAAGUGCACAGCAGAGACUUCUGGAGUGAAUGGCCUGUUACUCUGCCAAAAUGUCUCUGUAAUUUAUAAGGGGAGCUGUUUGUCAAUGCUGGACAACAGUCUUCCAAAAUUCUUUAAGCAGCCAAGAUGGGCUCAGUGGGAGUAAAAAAACACCUGCA
This is a long non-coding RNA of Hypanus sabinus (Atlantic stingray), 822 nucleotides long. RefSeq lists it as uncharacterized. The record is from RefSeq and is a predicted model, not a curated record. The transcript has 3 exons. NCBI's taxonomy places the organism in Eukaryota, Metazoa, Chordata, Chondrichthyes, Myliobatiformes, Dasyatidae.